UAGAAAAUCCAAGGGAUAGAAAUCCCCAUCCGUCCCGUGCUCUGCGAUGAGAAAUCCCCAAAUCGCCGCCACUGAGGCGCCGGGAAGGACCGCGCCAUGGUGCGCCACCCAUUGGACGCCGCACUUGAGGUUUUCGCGGGGAGGAGGCUGUGGCAGAGUGCUGCCACUGGAGGUUGCGCCGUCGGGCGCUGCUGGUUGGCCGCGUGGAGCCGAGGCACCGAGGAGCGAGGCUGCUCGUCGCCGCCAAUCUUGGUGAAGGGAGGUCGCCGAGGGCGACGCCCGUAGGCUGGCAUUGAGGCCUACGGCCGCCUGCUCUUGGUGGAGCGGGGCUGUGCCGAGGGCCGAGUUGGGACGGAGGUUGUCAGGCGACGGCUGUGCCGCCCCCGAAGACGGCAUGGCCGUUGGUGUACCAUGUGCGUCGACGACGACUGAAAACGACGAAGAUGUAGGGGCGCAGAAGCAAAAGGUAGCCUUCAUGGCUACAAGUAACCACAGAUCGGGAGAAAACAGUGAGAAACAACUUGAUUUCUUACUUACUCACCGUUAUGAUUUCUUGAUAUUCUCUGAUUUGAUUGAUCCCAUCGAUUUUCAAAGAUUUCCUGAGAUCGGUUUCUUCCUCUUCUGUGUUCUUCCUCUUGAUCUUCUUCUCUUUGUUAUGAUUUGAUAUAGUUCGUAGAGGGAUUGUGAUUAGAACAUCAAUCAAUUAGUACAUAAAUAUAAUUAGAGGGAAGGCUUGAUUAGAGGAAUCAAUCGUGCAGAUUGAUUUUUACUUCCUGUAAAAGCAUGAGUUCUAUUCAUACUACAAUCGAUUUCCUGAGAUCGGUUUCUUCGGCUUCUUCUCUGUUCUUAAUUUUGGCUGUCCGUUCCGAUUGCUAGGCACGAAGUAAUGCAAUGAUUAAUUCGUUAGUUGUCGUGAAGAAAUUAAUCAAUAUGAUCGCAUGUAUGCAGGAAGCAGCAUCAUGAUUGUUCUUCCAAUCCAUCGAUGCAUGUUUGUCCUUCAGGUGUAGAUAUCUUCGCUGGCUUGAUUGAUUCAGAGAUCGGUUGCUUCUGAUCUAUCUUUUCUGAAUUUCAUUGGGAAUGCAUAAAAUCAAAUUGUGAUUAAUCAGUUCAUCAAUAGCAUAGGAGAAAACGAAAAAUAGGCAGAUGGAAUGUUUGAUUAGAUAAAUCAAUCGUCUAGAUCAAUUUCUGUUUCCUGUACAAGCAUGCGUGUGCUUGUUCUGAUCAUCCAAAAGAUCGAUUUCUUCUUCUGAUCUUGAUGAUGCUUAGAGUAAACGAGAUUGAGACUAAGCAAAUGAUUCAAGUGUGUGUUCUUUAUUGAUGCUCAUUGUAUAUAAAGGAUUACAAGGGAUUACAAGGGAUGCCACCAAAAGGUGUCUAUUGGAAGAGAUGCCACCAAAGGAUAACAGUUACAUAUUCGAGAGAAAGGGAAGGCACUUGUCCCUUAAACAUGGAUUCCUACAUAUUUAACAUGUGCUAAAUAUAAUUCUAACAGCAACCAUGGCGUUAAUUUCUAUAUACCUGUUUGUGAGGAUGCAAUUGUAAAGGAACUACCUGCAAAAUCUUCUGUUUGUAUGAAAUUAGGCAGACGGUGAAUACGUAAUGGUGAUCUGGAUUCUGGAAGCUAGUGGGGCUCACCGAAUAAAGCCAAUUCGAAGUACUUUUCAUGUGCAACGUUUUUUCAGUUGUAAGUCAUCAAAAAGAAUUACUUGGAACUGCCAAAAGACAUCAAAGACCACGAAGUGCUUCAUUCAGGACACAACACACAAUUGUACAAGUGGAGCAAAAAAAACCGAUCAUGACAUGAAACCAACAGAAAGGGCAGAAGACAAUUUAGAAUAUAAUGUAAAAUUGAACAACAGAUUGAAAAUUGAACUAUUGCAUGAGUUCAAUAAAUUUUCACACAUGGACUUCCUUGACAGUUGCAUCCUCACAAACAGAAGAUUUUGCAGUUGCAUCCUCGCAAACAGAAGAUCGUGUAUGCAUUUCUUUUAUGGAUGCAUCAUCAAGGUCAUCGUCUUCAAACUAUUCCUGGCUGGUUGUGUUGGAACCAUAAAGAAGUCAAAGCCAUAAACAUGUCAUUGCGACUUUGUGAUGCAUGUUGUCUGUAAAGACAAAAAAUUAAAGCUUUUCUCCAACUCUCAGACAUUGUCUGACCUACUGCGACAGAGCAGAUCCUAGUGCAAAGGUAGAAUUGACACAGGCAAGUCAGAUUUCUCCCCAGCUCCAAAUGUUAGACAUCAGUUCAAAAAUUGAACCCAUGCUACUCAUUCAUGGAAGCAUCAAGGUAUCCAUGGUGAAGUAAAUAGAAAAGCAGCAGGCUGGAGGCGGCCAACGCUCUGAUCAAAGUAGUUCCUAUUCCUUAAUUCUUAAGAGGGAAAACAACUUGUGAAGGCAUUAUAUUCGAGGCAACAACAUUCUUCUUUGUCUACAAAA
This is a long non-coding RNA of Brachypodium distachyon (stiff brome), 2433 nucleotides long. RefSeq lists it as uncharacterized. The transcript has 2 exons. Lineage: Eukaryota; Viridiplantae; Streptophyta; Magnoliopsida; Poales; Poaceae. The record is from RefSeq and is a predicted model, not a curated record.